RNAcentral lists this ribosomal RNA (253 nucleotides) under uncultured bacterium. Its description in RNAcentral is "partial 16S ribosomal RNA". It matches the Rfam family "Bacterial small subunit ribosomal RNA", at positions 524 to 776 of the family's 1533-position model. The record is from RNAcentral.
UACGUAGGGUGCGAGCGUUAAUCGGAAUUACUGGGCGUAAAGCGUGCGCAGGCGGUUUUGUAAGCCAGAUGUGAAAGCCCCGGGCUUAACCUGGGAAUGGCAUUUGGGACUGCAAGGCUUGAGUGCGGCAGAGGAGACUGGAAUUCCUGGUGUAGCAGUGAAAUGCGUAGAUAUCAGGAGGAAUACCGGUGGCGAAGGCGGCAUCCUGGACCGACAUUGACGCUGAACGGCGAAAGCUAGGGGAGCAAACGGG